CCUACGGGGGGCAGCAGUAGGGAAUAUUAGAAAUGGACGAAAGUCUGAUCUAGCAACACCGCGUGUGCGAAGAAGGCCUUCGGGUCGUAAAGCACUUUUUGGAAGGAAUAGGAAGGAAUGUACUUCCAGAAUAAGUCUCGGCUAACUACGUGCCAGCAGCCGCGGUAACACGUAGGAGGCAAACGUUAUCCGGAUUUACUGGGCGUAAAGCGCGUGUAGGUGGUACUGUAAGUAGGGCGUGAAAGCUCCUGGCUCAACUGGGAGAGGCCGUUCUAAACUACAGAACUAGAGGAUGGUAGAGGGAGGUGGAAUUCCAGGUGUAGCGGUGGAAUGCGCAGAUAUCUGGAGGAACACCGGUGGCGAAGGCGGCCUCCUGGACCAUUCCUGACACUCAGACGCGAAAGCUAGGGUAGCAAACGGGAUUAGAUACCCUGGUAGUC
This 440-nucleotide ribosomal RNA is filed under the name uncultured Anaerolineaceae bacterium. Its description in RNAcentral is "bacterial SSU rRNA". It matches the Rfam family "Bacterial small subunit ribosomal RNA", at positions 338 to 795 of the family's 1533-position model. Lineage: Bacteria; Bacillati; Chloroflexota; Anaerolineae; Anaerolineales; Anaerolineaceae. The record is from RNAcentral.